Vespula vulgaris is the source of this 2680-nucleotide long non-coding RNA. RefSeq lists it as uncharacterized. The record is from RefSeq and is a predicted model, not a curated record. The transcript is spliced from 2 exons. NCBI's taxonomy places the organism in Eukaryota, Metazoa, Arthropoda, Insecta, Hymenoptera, Vespidae.
AUAUGUGUGUGAAAGAGGUUGCUAUUUAUAUUUGGGGAAAGUAUUCUUGAAUAACGUUACUGUUUAAUUUAUACGUUCAUAAGAUUAAUUAAGAGAUUAAAAACGAUUUUCUCGAGUAAUUAUUGAACAAACGUAUCUUUUUCCUAGAUCAUUAAAUUUACUUCGGUAUUAUCUAUGAUAAAGUGUAGAAAGUGCCAUUUAAUAAGAAGGUAACCUUGAUUUUUUAUUGUAAAAUAAUAUCUGCAGUUUUAAUUUUGUUUUUGUUUUACUUUUUUAUUUUUUCCAUUUAAUUAAUGAUGGAGAAGGAAUAUUUUUCCUGUUUAUGAUGUGAAUGCAAUUUUUCCUCUUUUAACUUGGUUAUGUUUUGAUUCUUAUUAAUUAUUAUAUUUGACUAUGACAAAUGUUUGAGAACGUAAAAAAUAAAGCAAAUCGGUACUACAGAACUUAUCUUAUUAGUUCAGAAGUUGCUAGCAAAGUUAGGAUUGGAACUUCAUUCAAUUCAUCAACAACACACUUCUAUAUCUUCUACAUCUUCAAAUUUCUAAAAAAUAAAACUAGUGAAGUCUGAUCAAGUGUAUUCAAAUAAGACUAUAGGAAGAAUAAAUAUCAUUAAAGAAGUAGGUAAAAGAAAUGCGUUCGUUUAUACAGUUCAAUAAUUUUUCGUACAAAUUGUAUAAGCCAUGAGCAAUAUUUUAAAUCAGAUAAGUUUAAGGAUAAUGAAAAGAAUGGAAACAUGGCUUCGAUGGAAAGGCCACAACUUCAGAAGAAAACCUGUUUCAAGGAUUGUUUUUCGAUGGAAAUAUCAUUGAAGCUUGUCUCCUAAAUAGCACCAUUAAAGAACUAUUACAAUUUCAUGGUCAAGACAUACGAUUCAACGAAUGUAACAUAAAUGUUAUCAAAAAAGCUGUGUGAUAACCUUCUUCUAUAUAAUAUCAAUGGAUGAGAAACUGCUUUCAAAUUUUUCUUGAAGCGAUUGAUGUAAAUAUGUAAUAUUUUAAGCAAAGCUUUAUAUACAAGAAUUCUUUACCUGAGCCUGUUACAUGGACUGUAAGACCACUUUACAGAGUUUUUACUGAAAAGUAAAUUUUUAUUUAAUCUAUGUUCCUCACAAUUUCCGAAAAGCUUUAUUUUUUUUAACAUAUGAUUCGUUUUAUCAGCAACUAUUUAGGUUUAUUUUAACUUUUCUAUAGUUCAUUUAUAACAUUUUCUAAUACUAAAUCACUAAAACUAUAGCGAAAUAGGUAGAAGCGAAGUUAGAAACUGGAGCAAUAAAUUUAUAAAGUAUAUAUAAGUAACCUGUGUGUUUAAUAAGUAACAAUUUUUUAAAAAAUGGAUCAUGAAUUUCACAAAUUUAGCGUUGAUGGGAUAGGUCGUUUGUAAAACAACAUAUUUUAUCAUUUUCUAUUUUGUACUGCUAUUAUCUUUUGCUUAUAUUUGGAAUUCGAAAGUGUGUGUAUUUAUUAUUUAUAAUUUCCAAUCGUUUUGAAUAAUAUGAAACGAAAUUGUAAUUAUAAUGAAUUGCAGUAUUGGAGUUGCAUCUUUGGAGAUAGUUUUUUUAUAAUAAAGUUGUGAAUAUGAGCGAUAAAACGAAUCCAGAAAAUUAUUUAGAAACGUAUCAUUUUAUUAAUAUAACUCAUAUAACCAAUCUAAUACUAGAAGUGAAUUAAAAAAUUUCAUGUAUAAAGAAAAGAGAAAAUAUGAAAAUCAGUGAGUAUGAUAGAGAAAUAGAGAAUACUAUAUAUACGUUUACGUUUAUAGAUUGAUUUGUAGAAGUAGAAAUGACAGAAGUGCCGAUAAUAGAGUAUGAACAAAAAAUAGUCUUUAGGAAUAUCAUGAAUCUCUCACUCAUUCAGGAGUUUUACUAUGGUGAAAAUAUAUUCAUUAUAAAACGAACAGGAUUUAUCGGAAAAUUUUCGAUCGAUUUAUUAUAAAUGCUCAUCUAUAUAUUUAAAAUAAUGAUAAAUUAUUAGAUUUACAAUUAUUUUAAUUAAAAUUCUUAGUUUUUGUAUUAAUCGGUUUAAUACUAAUCACUUAUAUUAGGUAUUGAUAAUUUAUUAAUAUUGAUCAUUAAGUUAUUUAAAUAACUGAUUAAAAAUAUUGACUCAGUAAAUGGAAACUUUUAGACAAAUUUAUUUAAUCUAAAGAAGUUUCACUUUUAUCAUGUGUUAUGUAUUAAUCGUGUGUACUGCAUUAAAUAAUCAUUCGAGAAAGAAAGAAAUAAAAUAGGGUGUACUAAUUGAGAAUUUACGGAAGAUUUGUCAUUAUGUAUAGAACGUAUUAAAAAUGACGAAUGGAUUACAGUAUACAUCCAAUAAUUGGUAGUUCUUAUUUUAGAAUUGAGAACACUCAAUAUAUUAUCAAAAAUAUUAUCGAAAGACAGGAAACUUUCAGCUAUAUUCUUUGUCUGUUGUAAGUCAAUUUCAAAAUUUUAAUUUAACGAUUCUCUCGUUUAUCGAUGUAAUUUUCAACUAUUCGAAUGGAAACAUCGAAUAUAUAAAAAAAAUUAACAAAACGCGUAUUCCAAAUAUGAAAGAGGAAACGUUACGAAGACGAGUAAAACGUUGACUUGUGAGGAUCUCCGAUCAAAAUUCGUCCUCUUGUAUCGUAAUGAAAUUCGUUGGCUUGUAUGAAAAAUUUUCAAAUAAAAAUUCUGUAAGUAGUACAUCUAAUUCCAGCUUUA